This 253-nucleotide ribosomal RNA is filed under the name uncultured bacterium. Its description in RNAcentral is "partial 16S ribosomal RNA". It matches the Rfam family "Bacterial small subunit ribosomal RNA", at positions 524 to 776 of the family's 1533-position model. The record is from RNAcentral.
UACGGAGGGUGCAAGCGUUGUCCGGAUUUAUUGGGCUUAAAGGGUGCGUAGGCGGCCCGUUAAGUCAGUGGUGAAAGCCUCCAGCUCAACUGGAGAACUGCCAUUGAUACUGGCGGGCUUGAGUACAGACGAGGUUGGCGGAAUUGAUUGUGUAGCGGUGAAAUGCAUAGAUACAAGCAAGAACACCGAUUGCGUAGGCAGCUAACUAGGCUGUAACUGACGCUGAGGCACGAAAGCGUGGGGAGCGAACAGG